GCCGGGGUAGUCUAGUGGUAAGGCGCAAGCCUGGAAAGCUUGUGAGGUGCAAAUCUCUCAGGAGUUCAAGUCUCCUCCCCGGCG
Molecule: transfer RNA, 84 nt
Filed under: Methanocella arvoryzae MRE50
Lineage: Archaea; Methanobacteriati; Methanobacteriota; Methanomicrobia; Methanocellales; Methanocellaceae
Description: tRNA-Ser (GGA) (tRNA-Ser-GGA-1-1)
Rfam family: tRNA
About the family: Transfer RNA (tRNA) molecules are approximately 80 nucleotides in length. Their secondary structure includes four short double-helical elements and three loops (D, anti-codon, and T loops). Further hydrogen bonds mediate the characteristic L-shaped molecular structure. tRNAs have two regions of fundamental functional importance: the anti-codon, which is responsible for specific mRNA codon recognition, and the 3' end, to which the tRNAs corresponding amino acid is attached (by aminoacyl-tRNA synthetases). tRNAs cope with the degeneracy of the genetic code in two manners: having more than one tRNA (with a specific anti-codon) for a particular amino acid; and 'wobble' base-pairing, i.e. permitting non-standard base-pairing at the 3rd anti-codon position.
Source: Rfam by way of RNAcentral